CCUACGGGAGGCAGCAGUGAGGAAUAUUGGUCAAUGGGCGCGAGCCUGAACCAGCCAAGUAGCGUGAAGGAUGACUGCCCUACGGGUUGUAACCUUCUUUUCUAAAGGAGUAAAGUGAGGCACGUGUGCCUUUUUGUAUGUAAUUUAUGAAUAAGGAUCGGCUAACUCCGUGCCAGCAGCCGCGGUAAUACGGAGGAUCCGUGCGUUAUCCGGAUUUAUUGGGUUUAAGGGGAGCGUAGAUGGGUUGUUAAGUCAGUUGUGAAAGUUUGCGGUUCAAUCGUAAAAUUGCAAUUGUUACUGGCAGUCUUGAGUACAGUUGAGGUAGGCGGAAUUCGUGGUGUAGCGGUGAAAUGCGCAGAUAUCACGAAGAACACCGAUGGCGAAGGCAGCUUACUAAGCUGCCACUGACAUUGAGGCUCGAAAGUGUGGGUAUCAAACAGGAUUAGAUACCCGAGUAGUC
This 460-nucleotide ribosomal RNA is filed under the name uncultured bacterium. RNAcentral describes it as "partial 16S ribosomal RNA". It matches the Rfam family "Bacterial small subunit ribosomal RNA", at positions 338 to 795 of the family's 1533-position model. The record is from RNAcentral.